UGAUGGCGACCGGCGAACGGGUGCGUAACGCGUAUGCAACUUACCUUUUACUAGAGAAUAGGCAAGAGAAAUUUUGAUUAAUGCUCUAUACUCUUAUUAACUCACAUGAGUUUUUAAGAAAAGCUCCGGCGGUAAAAGAUGGGCAUGCGUCCUAUUAGCUUGUAGGUGAGGUAACGGCUCACCUAAGCUCCGAUAGGUAGGGGUCCUGAGAGGGAGAUCCCCCACACUGGUACUGAGACACGGACCAGACUUCUACGGAAGGCAGCAGUAAGGAAUAUUGGACAAUGGAGGCAACUCUGAUCCAGCGAUGCCGCGUGAAGGAAGACGGCCCUAUGGGUUGUAAACUUCUUUUAUACAGGAAGAAACCUUUCCACGUGUGAAAGAUGACGGU
Molecule: ribosomal RNA, 391 nt
Filed under: uncultured bacterium
Lineage: Bacteria
Description: bacterial SSU rRNA
Rfam family: Bacterial small subunit ribosomal RNA
Source: RNAcentral